AUGAUGGGGUUCAUUCACCAAGAAGCCAAGGAAAAGGCCAAUGAGAUCUCCAUCUCUGCUGAAGAAGUACGUAUCCCAAUUCUAUCACAACUCUCUUCUUUUUCCCCAAUUGUUACUUUUUUCUAAUAACCCUAAAUUUCAAUUUCAUACCGAUCCAUUGUUGUAAUUCAUGUGUAAUCAAGUUUUGUACGUGUUUUCCAAUCCGGGGAUUCCAACACUUGGUCUCUAUGUCCGCCAUCUUUGCUUCCAUCUAUGUUGCUGGUCGGUUUGUUCCCUGCUCUUUUCUUUCUUUUCUUUUCUUUUGCACCUCAUUUGAUUUUGCAAAAAUUCGACCUAUAUAUGAUAAAUUUUGGUUCCCUCCCUUUUUGUUUGA
Molecule: long non-coding RNA, 373 nt
Filed under: Prunus dulcis (almond)
Lineage: Eukaryota; Viridiplantae; Streptophyta; Magnoliopsida; Rosales; Rosaceae
Description: sRNA ncRNA
Source: RNAcentral